Long non-coding RNA from Ananas comosus (pineapple), 550 nucleotides. RefSeq lists it as uncharacterized. The transcript is spliced from 2 exons. NCBI's taxonomy places the organism in Eukaryota, Viridiplantae, Streptophyta, Magnoliopsida, Poales, Bromeliaceae. The record is from RefSeq and is a predicted model, not a curated record.
CAAGCAAGGUAUCGGCGGAACAGGUUCUGUGUACAGCUCCCCAUAGGCUUCCCAGCAGAAGGGUUCAUACAUGUGGUACUGUUCUUGAAGUGGCUCGAGCUCGACCUCAUUUAAUGUUAUAUCAGAGCAAGGUUCUCCUGUCACAGUAGAACUGGUCUAUGAUGAUUGGUGUUUGGACUUCGGAGACUCUUAUGUUUGAGAACCUUACGCCUUGUACAGAGCCCGAGCCGCCCUGCAAGGAGAGGUUGUUUCUUUAGAAUAUCUUGUAGAAUAAGCAACGGAAGGGUAUCGAUGAUUAAUAAGAAAGAUGUUUAGUGCUCUUUUGGCAUUGUCUAUGUGGGGUUUAAAUCUUACUACCACCCAUCCAAGAGUUUAGACAUCUCGUUUGGUUUUUUAAUAUUAAAAAAAACAAAGGAUUGAUGGCUUGUGUGGAAAUAUUGGCCCUUAAAUGGGUAAGGUGUAAGAUUUUUACCCACUUUUUUUGUGUAAAGUAGCAUUGCUCUGAUUAAAAAGGCACUGUGGGAUGAUUUUUUUUAAUUUUGCUAUUUCA